This 348-nucleotide ribosomal RNA is filed under the name uncultured bacterium. Its description in RNAcentral is "bacterial SSU rRNA". It matches the Rfam family "Bacterial small subunit ribosomal RNA", at positions 8 to 350 of the family's 1533-position model. The record is from RNAcentral.
AGAGUUUGAUCCUGGCUCAGGAUGAACGCUAGCUACAGGCUUAACACAUGCAAGUCGAGGGGCAGCAUGUUGGUUGCUUGCAACCAAUGAUGGCGACCGGCGCACGGGUGAGUAACGCGUAUCCAACCUACCCUUGUCCAUCGGAUAACCCGUCGAAAGGCGGCCUAACACGAUAUGCGGUUCACAGCAGGCACCUAAGGUGAACGAAAUGUGAAGGAGAAGGAUGGGGAUGCGUCUGAUUAGCUUGUUGGCGGGGUAACGGCCACCGAAGGCUACGAUCAGUAGGGGUUCUGAGAGGAAGGUCCCCANAUUGGAACUGAGACACGGUCCAAACUCCUACGGCAGGCA